RNAcentral lists this ribosomal RNA (473 nucleotides) under uncultured bacterium. RNAcentral describes it as "bacterial SSU rRNA". It matches the Rfam family "Bacterial small subunit ribosomal RNA", at positions 328 to 793 of the family's 1533-position model. The record is from RNAcentral.
CUCUGUGACUCCUACGGGAGGCAGCAGUGGGGAAUAUUGCACAAUGGGCGCAAGCCUGAUGCAGCCAUGCCGCGUGUGUGAAGAAGGCCUUCGGGUUGUAAAGCACUUUCAGUUGUGAGGAAGGUGGUGUCGUUAAUAGCGGCAUCAUUUGACGUUAGCAACAGAAGAAGCACCGGCUAACUCCGUGCCCAGCAGCCGCGGUAAUACGGAGGGUGCGAGCGUUAAUCGGAAUUACUGGGCGUAAAGCGCAUGCAGGUGGUUUGUUAAGUCAGAUGUGAAAGCCCGGGGCUCAACCUCGGAACUGCAUUUGAAACUGGCAGACUAGAGUACUGUAGAGGGGGUAGAAUUUCAGGUGUAGCGGUGAAAUGCGUAGAGAUCUGAAGGAAUACCGGUGGCGAAGGCGGCCCCCUGGACAGAUACUGACACUCAGAUGCGAAAGCGUGGGGAGCAAACAGGAUUAGAUACCCUGGGAG